Molecule: long non-coding RNA, 256 nt
Filed under: Elaeis guineensis (African oil palm)
Lineage: Eukaryota; Viridiplantae; Streptophyta; Magnoliopsida; Arecales; Arecaceae
Description: long non-coding RNA (EGUI_LNC040010)
Source: RNAcentral
CGACAUGGUAGAUUAUGUUUUGAUUAAGUCACUAGUCGAUUCGUGCAGACCUAUGCCAUCAAGAUUAAUCAGUGUGAUUGAUUUAGAUGUCUUUAGACCAACUUGUGUCAAUCCCCUAUAUUAUUUGGUGAAGUCAGUGGGAGGAUUUGCAGCUUGCAGAUUAACUUCUUCUCUUAUUCUCAAGUCAAUGAAAUCAAAUCUUCUACAUUAUUUGAGUCGCUACUCACCAUCGCUGUAGUAGCCCUCGUCCAACCCC